AUGUCCCCAUCCCAGUGUCCCCAGUGUCCCCACCAUCCCCAUCCCACGCACCCUCCUCACCUCCCAACACUCCCCCGCCUCCCAGCACCCCCAAAUCCCACCCCCAUCCCCAUAGGGUCACGGGGGGGGGUGCCGGGACCAUCCCCCCCCCCCCAAAAAAACCUCCCACCAUGUGGCUGGGGGCCCGCCUGGACGCGCUGCCCACCCCGGCGCUCGCCGUCGACCGUGCCGUGGCGCGCCGCAACGCCGAGCGCAUGCAGGAGCGCUGCCGAGCCCUCGGCCUCCGCCUGCGCCCCCACGUCAAGACCCACAAAACGCUGGAGGGCGGCGCGCUGGCCACGGGCGGCACGCGGCGCGGCAUCGCCGUCUCCACGCUGGCCGAGGCGCGUUUUUUCGCCGACGGGGGCUUCGAUGACAUCCUACUGGCGUACCCGCUGCCAACGGGGCGCCUGGAGGAGUGCGCCCAGCUGGCCCAGCGCCUCGAAGCCUUCCAGGUGCUCUUGGACAGCCCCGAGGCGCUGCAGUGCCUGCGGCAGCGCCCGCUGGCCGGCGGCAAGCGCUGGCUCGUUUGGCUCAAGCUCGAUUGCGGCAACGGCAGAGGUGGGGACGGGCACGGGGAGGGGGAUUUGGGGUUGGGUUUUUUGCCGCCGGUCCCCGUGGAGCAGCACGGAUAGGGUGGUUGAGUCGUGGCCCCCAAAAUUCUUCAUUCCAUCAUUCCUCAGCAUCCCGCUUGUGGGGAUGUCCCAAAGCCCCCAGGCAGUGUGGGUCUGUGAGCCCCCAACCCCGUUUCCAGCCACCUGGAUGUCCCGUGGGGCCCCAACCCCACAGCCCACACCACCAAUGCCUCGACCCCAAUGGAGCAUUCAAGCUUCCCAAAAGUCAUUUUUCACCCCUCACUUCAGGGCUGACGUGUCCCAUCAGUCCCUAAACCCACAAACCCAGCAGCUGAGCCAUUACGCAUCCGUUAGGCCCCCCAAAAAAACCCUUUUCACCCACCCCAAGGCUGCUCCCUGGGGGAGGGAUUCCGGGUGUCCCCAAUCCCAAAGCCUCCAUCCUCAGCAGCUCAGCCAUUAGCCCCCAAACCCCAUUUGCAUCCACCCACCCCAACAAUGCCCGAAGCCCCCAGCCCC
RNAcentral lists this long non-coding RNA (1130 nucleotides) under Anas platyrhynchos platyrhynchos (common mallard). RNAcentral's name for it is "lncRNA (ENSAPLG00000024953.1)". Lineage: Eukaryota; Metazoa; Chordata; Aves; Anseriformes; Anatidae. The record is from RNAcentral.